GGUCCUAAGGUAGCGAAAUUCCUUGUCGGGUAAGUUCCGGCCCGCACGAAAGGCGUAACGAUUUGGGCACUGUCUCAACGGGAGACUCGGUGAAAUUUUAGUACCUGUGAAGAUGCAGGUUACCCGCGACAGGACGGAAAGACCCCAUGGAGCUUUACUGUAGUUUGAUAUUGAGUGUCUGUACCGCAUGUACAGGAUAGGUAGGAGCCGUAGAAAUCGGAACGCUAGUUUCGAUGGAGGCGCUGGUGGGAUACUACCCCUGCGUUAUGGCCACUCUAACCCGCACCACUAAUCGUGGUGGGAGACAGUGUCAGAUGGGCAGUUUGACUGGGGCGGUCGCCUCCUAAAAGGUAACGG
Molecule: ribosomal RNA, 357 nt
Filed under: Enterococcus faecium
Lineage: Bacteria; Bacillati; Bacillota; Bacilli; Lactobacillales; Enterococcaceae
Description: bacterial LSU rRNA
Rfam family: Bacterial large subunit ribosomal RNA
Source: RNAcentral